Oryza sativa Japonica Group (Japanese rice) is the source of this 211-nucleotide microRNA precursor. It matches the Rfam family "MIR812 microRNA precursor family". The record is from Rfam. NCBI's taxonomy places the organism in Eukaryota, Viridiplantae, Streptophyta, Magnoliopsida, Poales, Poaceae.
AAGAAGUGCAGUUUUAGCACUGUUCAUGUUCAACGUUUGACCGUUUGUCUUAUUUGAAAAAAGAUUAUGAUUAGUAUUUUUAUUGUUAUUAGAUGAUAAAACAUGAAUAGUAAUUCAUGUGUGACUAAUUUUUUUAAUAUUUUUUAUAAUUUUUUUUAAAUAAAACAGAUGGUCAAAACGCUAAACACGGAUAUCUAUGGCUACACUUAUU